RNAcentral lists this ribosomal RNA (670 nucleotides) under uncultured bacterium. Its description in RNAcentral is "bacterial SSU rRNA". It matches the Rfam family "Bacterial small subunit ribosomal RNA", at positions 59 to 730 of the family's 1533-position model. The record is from RNAcentral.
CAGUCGAACGAGAGAUACAGGAGGAAGUUUUCGGAUGGAAUCCGGUAGAUCGAGUGCCGUACGGGUGAGUAACGCGUGGGGAACCUGCCUCAUACAGGGGGAUAACAGUUGGAAACGACUGUUAAUACCGCAUAAGACCACAGAGUCGCAUGACUCAGGGGUAAAAACUCCGGUGGUAUGAGAUGGACCCGCGUUCGAUUAGCCAGUUGGCGGGGUAACGGCCCACCAAAGCGACGAUCGAUAGCCGAUUUGAGAGAAUGACCGGCCACAUUGGGACUGAGACACGGCCCAAACUCCUACGGGAGGCAGCAGUGGGGAAUAUUGCACAAUGGGGGGAACCCUGAUGCAGCGACGCCGCGUGAGUGAAGAAGUAUUUCGGUAUGUAAAGCUCUAUCAGCAGGGAAGAAGAUGACGGUACCUGAGUAAGAAGCCCCGGCUAACUACGUGCCAGCAGCCGCGGUAAUACGUAGGGGGCAAGCGUUAUCCGGAUUUACUGGGUGUAAAGGGAGCGCAGACGGCUAUGCAAGUCUGAAGUGAAAGCCCGGGGCUCAACCCCGGGACUGCUUUGGAAACUGUGUAGCUAGAGUGUCGGAGAGGUAAGCAGAAUUCCCAGUGUAGCGGUGAAAUGCGUAGAUAUUGGGAAGAAUACCGGUGGCGAAGGCGGCUUACU